Long non-coding RNA from Polyodon spathula (Mississippi paddlefish), 232 nucleotides. RefSeq lists it as uncharacterized. The record is from RefSeq and is a predicted model, not a curated record. The transcript is spliced from 3 exons. NCBI's taxonomy places the organism in Eukaryota, Metazoa, Chordata, Actinopteri, Acipenseriformes, Polyodontidae.
CGCGCUGUAUGCUAAACUGUAGAGCCACGGCGAGCCAACAUGGAAACCACAGGAACGCAGUUUCUUCACCCUUUGCACCGCAGAAGGGAUAAACCUCACGCACUCCAACCAGCCAACAACGAUUCUUGGUUGGUGUGAUCUGUGUUCUGUUAAGUGUACCACACAAGAAUCAGUGUACAACAGUGUUUUCUCAACGUCUUUCAUAGUGGACCUGCGUCACAAAGCGCUUUAC